RNAcentral lists this non-coding RNA (25 nucleotides) under Rattus norvegicus (Norway rat). The record is from RNAcentral. Lineage: Eukaryota; Metazoa; Chordata; Mammalia; Rodentia; Muridae.
GGGAUGCUCUGAGCAGAAGUGGCCA